UGGGGAAUUUUGGACAAUGGGGGCAACCCUGAUCCAGCCAUCCCGCGUGUGCGAUGAAGGCCUUCGGGUUGUAAAGCACUUUUGGCAGGGAAGAAAGCAGCCUGGGAUAAUACCCCCGGGCGACUGACGGUACCUGCAGAAUAAGCACCGGCUAACUACGUGCCAGCAGCCGCGGUAAUACGUAGGGUGCAAGCGUUAAUCGGAAUUACUGGGCGUAAAGCGUGCGCAGGCGGUUCGGAAGAAAGGUGUGAAUCCCAGGGCUUAACCUUGGAACUGCACUUUUAACUACCGAGCUAGAGUACGUCAGAGGGGGGUAGAAUUCCACGUGUAGCAGUGAAAUGCGUAGAGAUGUGGAGGAAUACCGAUGGCGAAGGCAGCCCCCUGGGAUGAUACUGACGCUCAUGCACGAAAGCGUGGGGAGCAAACAGGAUUAGAUACCCUGGUAGUCCACGCCCUAAACGAUGUCAACUAGCUGUUGGGGGUUUAUUAACCUUAGUAGCGCAGCUAACGCGUGAAGUUGACCGCCUGGGGAGU
Molecule: ribosomal RNA, 534 nt
Filed under: uncultured bacterium
Lineage: Bacteria
Description: partial 16S ribosomal RNA
Rfam family: Bacterial small subunit ribosomal RNA
Source: RNAcentral